This 345-nucleotide long non-coding RNA is filed under the name Androctonus crassicauda. The record is from RNAcentral. Lineage: Eukaryota; Metazoa; Arthropoda; Arachnida; Scorpiones; Buthidae.
CUUUCUGUAAGCCCUGUCACUGUCUAGAAUAACCAAAGUGCAACAGAAGCAUUACCAUUAUUUUGGUAAUAGCCUUACGAGCAAAGCACGGUCACAUCAAUGCCUAGUAGAUUGUACAGUCUAUUCCAAAAUGUAUUGCAGGCAGCAGGAAACAGUUCAGCUUUUGUACAAAACAUGGAAUUUCAUUGCAUUUAUCGUGUCGAGCACUGGUUAAUGCACGAAUUGGCGAUUAGCCAUUUCAUUAUGGUUACUGUAGAAACCGGGAUUGGGAGGUUGAUGAGAGUGCGACUUAUUUUUAAACUAGAUAGAUUUAUGAGCAAUAUAAAUGCAAUUUUAUUCAUCACA